This 497-nucleotide ribosomal RNA is filed under the name uncultured bacterium. Its description in RNAcentral is "partial 16S ribosomal RNA". It matches the Rfam family "Bacterial small subunit ribosomal RNA", at positions 28 to 507 of the family's 1533-position model. The record is from RNAcentral.
GACGAACGCUGGCGGCGUGCCUAAUACAUGCAAGUUGAGCGCUGAAGGUUGGUACUUGUACCAACUGGAUGAGCAGCGAACGGGUGAGUAACGCGUGGGGAAUCUGCCUUUGAGCGGGGGACAACAUUUGGAAACGAAUGCUAAUACCGCAUAAAAACUUUAAACACAAGUUUUAAGUUUGAAAGAUGCAAUUGCAUCACUCAAAGAUGAUCCCGCGUUGUAUUAGCUAGUUGGUGAGGUAAAGGCUCACCAAGGCGAUGAUACAUAGCCGACCUGAGAGGGUGAUCGGCCACAUUGGGACUGAGACACGGCCCAAACUCCUACGGGAGGCAGCAGUAGGGAAUCUUCGGCAAUGGACGAAAGUCUGACCGAGCAACGCCGCGUGAGUGAAGAAGGUUGUCGGAUCGUAAAACUCUGUUGGUAGAGAAGAACGUUGGUGAGAGUGGAAAGCUCAUCAAGUGACGGUAACUACACAGAAAGGGACGGCUAACUACGUG